GGACUACUGGGGUAUCUAAUCCCGUUUGCUCCCCUGGCUUUCGCGCCUCAGCGUCAGAAAAGGUCCAGCACGCUGCUUUCGCCAUCGGUGUUCCUUCCGAUAUCUACGCAUUUCACCGCUCCACCGGAAGUUCCGCAUGCCCCUACCUCCCUCCAGACCGCCAGUAUCGAAGGCCAUUGUCCCGUUGAGCGGAACGAUUUCACCACCGACUUGACAGCCCGCCUACGCGCCCUUUAAACCCAGUGAUUCCGAACAACGUUCGCACGGUUCGUCUUACCGCGGCUGCUGGCAC
This 292-nucleotide ribosomal RNA is filed under the name uncultured Planctomycetota bacterium. Its description in RNAcentral is "uncultured planctomycete partial 16S ribosomal RNA". The record is from RNAcentral. Lineage: Bacteria; Pseudomonadati; Planctomycetota.